RNAcentral lists this ribosomal RNA (197 nucleotides) under uncultured bacterium. Its description in RNAcentral is "partial 16S ribosomal RNA". It matches the Rfam family "Bacterial small subunit ribosomal RNA", at positions 1307 to 1500 of the family's 1533-position model. The record is from RNAcentral.
GCAACUCGACUACAUGAAGCUGGAAUCGCUAGUAAUCGCGGAUCAGAAUGCCGCGGUGAAUACGUUCCCGGGUCUUGUACACACCGCCCGUCACACCAUGGGAGUCAGCAACGCCCGAAGCCGGUGACCCAACCUUUCUAGGGAGGGAGCCGUCGAAGGCGGGGCCGAUGACUGGGGUGAAGUCGUAACAAGGUACC